GCUGGCGGCAUGCCUAACACAUGCAAGUCGAACGGAAACGAUGGGAGCUUGCUCCCAGGCGUCGAGUGGCGGACGGGUGAGUAAUACUUAGGAAUCUACCCAGUAGCGGGGGACAACUCGGGGAAACUCGAGCUAAUACCGCAUACGCUCUACGGAGGAAAGCAGGGGAUCUUCGGACCUUGCACUAUUGGAUGAGCCUAAGUCGGAUUAGCUAGUUGGUGAGGUAAAGGCUCACCAAGGCGACGAUCCGUAGCUGGUCUGAGAGGACGAUCAGCCACACUGGGACUGAGACACGGCCCAGACUCCUACGGGAGGCAGCAGUGGGGAAUAUUGGACAAUGGGGGCAACCCUGAUCCAGCAAUGCCGCGUGUGUGAAGAAGGCCUGCGGGUUGUAAAGCACUUUCAGUAGAGAAGAAAAGCCUAGGGUUAAUACCCCUGAGUCUCGACGUUACCUACAGAAGAAGCUCCGGCUAACUCCGUGCCAGCAGCCGCGGUAAUACGGAGGGAGCGAGCGUUAAUCGGAAUUACUGGGCGUAAAGCGCGCGUAGGCGGCUUUGUAAGUCGGAUGUGAAAGCCCUGGGCUCAACCUGGGAAUGGCAUUCGAUACUGCAUAGCUAGAGUAUGGUAGAGGGAAGUGGAAUU
This 642-nucleotide ribosomal RNA is filed under the name uncultured Gammaproteobacteria bacterium. Its description in RNAcentral is "bacterial SSU rRNA". It matches the Rfam family "Bacterial small subunit ribosomal RNA", at positions 35 to 668 of the family's 1533-position model. Lineage: Bacteria; Pseudomonadati; Pseudomonadota; Gammaproteobacteria. The record is from RNAcentral.